RNAcentral lists this ribosomal RNA (94 nucleotides) under Prolemur simus (greater bamboo lemur). Lineage: Eukaryota; Metazoa; Chordata; Mammalia; Primates; Lemuridae. The record is from RNAcentral.
GUCUACGGACAUAGCACCCUGAACGCGCCCCAUCUCGGAAGCUAAGCAGGGUCAGGCCCGGUUAGUACUUGGAUGGGAGAAUAACCGAAUCACA